GUGCAGCAGUCGAGAAACCUCCGCAAUGCGGGAAACCGUGACGGGGUCACCCCGAGUGCCACCCGAUGAGGGUGGCUUUUCCCCGGUCUAAAAAGCCGGGGGCAAUAAGCGGGGGGCAAGUCUGGUGUCAGCCGCCGCGGUAAUACCAGCCCCGCGAGUGGUCGGGACGUUUAUUGGGCCUAAAGCGUCCGUAGCCGGCUCGGUAAGUCCCUCCUUAAAUCCACGGGCUCAACCCGUGGGCUGGGAGGGAUACUGCCGGGCUAGGGGGCGGGAGAGGCCGAGGGUACUCCCGGGGUAGGGGCGAAAUCCGUUAAUCCCGGGAGGACCACCAGUGGCGAAGGCGCUCGGCUGGAACGCGCCCGACGGUGAGGGACGAAAGCUGGGGGAGCAAAGGGGAUUAGAUACCCCCGUAGU
Molecule: ribosomal RNA, 414 nt
Filed under: uncultured microorganism
Description: bacterial SSU rRNA
Rfam family: Archaeal small subunit ribosomal RNA
Source: RNAcentral